CAACUCAAAAGAGUGUCGGCAGUGAGUGAAGUUACUGCAUUUUUAUGGUAGAACAGAGCUGGUUCAGGGGCUGUUUGAACAACUAUUCUGGUGGAGGAAGACGAUGUGCUCGCUUUUGGUUUUUUGCCGGAGUUUCAAGCGAAUUUUGAAGGCUGUUUCAAAGAUGGAAUUGAGCAGAUUUUGCUAAAAUUUGGGGUCAUUUUGGGGCUAAUUUUUCAGCAGCUUUACAACUAAUUUUGCUGCAUUUUUGGCAGAUCUCAGCUGCAUUUUUUUUUGUUGUUUUGGAGCCUGAUUUUUUGUGGUUUUCGCAGCUACAAAUCUACUGGUUUUUU
Molecule: long non-coding RNA, 332 nt
Filed under: Nicotiana benthamiana
Lineage: Eukaryota; Viridiplantae; Streptophyta; Magnoliopsida; Solanales; Solanaceae
Description: long non-coding RNA (NBEN_LNC026103)
Source: RNAcentral